AAAGGGAUCGGAUUUACUUACCUCGUUCUCUCCGUCUUCCCUUUCUUCUCCACCUCCAUCGAGCUCAAAGCUCUAUCCACCAUCUCCGACUCGUUUCUCCAUCUUCCCUUCCUCUCUACAUCCUCUCUCCACCAUCUACGACUCCAUCGCCCACCAACCCUUCCUCCCCACAUCAUCUCUCCACCAUCUCCGCCGCGUUUUCUCCAUCUUCCAUUCCUCUCCACAACCUCUCUCCACCAUCUCCGCCUCGAUCUCUCAUCUUUCACCAUCCGUAAUCUCGUCGCUCAUCCUAACAGAGUAUACAAUUGGAUUCAGCCAUCAUCAUCUCCAAUUUCAAAUCCGAGACUCUAAU
This 352-nucleotide long non-coding RNA is filed under the name Brassica rapa (field mustard). RNAcentral's name for it is "long non-coding RNA (BRAP_LNC005455)". Lineage: Eukaryota; Viridiplantae; Streptophyta; Magnoliopsida; Brassicales; Brassicaceae. The record is from RNAcentral.